GUGGGGAAUCUUGCGCAAUGGGCGAAAGCCUGACGCAGCCAUGCCGCGUGAAUGAUGAAGGUCUUAGGAUUGUAAAAUUCUUUCACCGGGGACGAUAAUGACGGUACCCGGAGAAGAAGCCCCGGCUAACUUCGUGCCAGCAGCCGCGGUAAUACGAAGGGGGCUAGCGUUGCUCGGAAUUACUGGGCGUAAAGGGCGCGUAGGCGGACAGUUUAGUCAGAGGUGAAAGCCCAGGGCUCAACCUUGGAAUUGCCUUUGAUACUGGCUGUCUUGAGUACGGGAGAGGUGAGUGGAACUCCGAGUGUAGAGGUGAAAUUCGUAGAUAUUCGGAAGAACACCAGUGGCGAAGGCGACUCACUGGCCCGUUACUGACGCUGAGGCGCGAAAGCGUGGGGAGCAAACAGGAUUAGAAACCCGUGUUAGUCC
RNAcentral lists this ribosomal RNA (426 nucleotides) under uncultured bacterium. RNAcentral's name for it is "partial 16S ribosomal RNA". It matches the Rfam family "Bacterial small subunit ribosomal RNA", at positions 354 to 796 of the family's 1533-position model. The record is from RNAcentral.